RNAcentral lists this ribosomal RNA (302 nucleotides) under uncultured bacterium. RNAcentral describes it as "partial 16S ribosomal RNA". It matches the Rfam family "Bacterial small subunit ribosomal RNA", at positions 508 to 807 of the family's 1533-position model. The record is from RNAcentral.
GCAGCCGCCACGGGAAUACAGAGGGUGCGAGCGUUAAUCGGAUUUACUGGGCGUAAAGCGUGCGUAGGCGGCUUCUUAAGUCGGAUGUGAAAUCCCUGAGCUUAACUUAGGAAUUGCAUUCGAUACUGGGAAGCUAGAGUAUGGGAGAGGAUGGUAGAAUUCCAGGUGUAGCGGUGAAAUGCGUAGAGAUCUGGAGGAAUACCGAUGGCGAAGGCAGCCAUCUGGCCUAAUACUGACGCUGAGGUACGAAAGCAUGGGGAGCAAACAGGAUUAGAUACCCGAGUAGUCCCUGUCUCUUAUAC